GAUGAACGCUGGCGGCGUGCCUAAUACAUGCAAGUCGAGCGAACGGACGAGAAGCUUGCUUCUCUGAUGUUAGCGGCGGACGGGUGAGUAACACGUGGAUAACCUACCUAUAAGACUGGGAUAACUUCGGGAAACCGGAGCUAAUACCGGAUAAUAUUUUGAACCGCAUGGUUCAAAAGUGAAAGACGGUCUUGCUGUCACUUAUAGAUGGAUCCGCGCUGCAUUAGCUAGUUGGUAAGGUAACGGCUUACCAAGGCAACGAUGCAUAGCCGACCUGAGAGGGUGAUCGGCCACCCCGGAACUGAGACCCGGUCCAGGCUCCUACGGGAGGCAGCAGUAGGGAAUCUUCCGCAAUGGGCGAAAGCCUGACGGAGCAACGCCGCGUGAGUGAUGAAGGUCUUCGGAUCGUAAAACUCUGUUAUUAGGGAAGAACAUAUGUGUAAGUAACUGUGCACAUCUUGACGGUACCUAAUCAGAAAGCCACGGCUAACUACGUG
Molecule: ribosomal RNA, 497 nt
Filed under: uncultured bacterium
Lineage: Bacteria
Description: partial 16S ribosomal RNA
Rfam family: Bacterial small subunit ribosomal RNA
Source: RNAcentral